UCUGAUGCACACACUCCUCUCUCAUGAUCCUGCAAUCCUUCUUCUAGAAAAGACCAACUUUGGAUUUGAUUGUUAAAGGAGAAAAUCAAUGAAAACGGUUAAAGUGAGCAAGUCAAGAAGGGUUUCAGGACUUGGGAAGGAAAAUGUUUAUUAACCACUAGAUGAAAAGAGGAGCAGAAACAGCUGCUGAUACCAAACUGGGUUGACCACAUACUUUGGAAGAAUCCUCACAAAAACCGAUUAUGAUCUGGUUCCAAAUGAUAUUCCCUAAAUUCACAUCUUCAGAGACAUCUUCUUUCUGUCUCUGCCUGUGCACUGUGUGGUCAACCUUCGCAGGUGAGUGCCUGGCUUGUUGUCAAGACACAAGCCAAGCAAACCUCCACUACUAACUUAUUAUGGUGUUGAUACUAACCGUGGUGAGGCUGUAAAGGUCCACCUGUUGCUCUUACUAACAUCUCUGUUCUUUCUGACUGAAUUUCUAUUGUGAUGUCUGAAAUCCAAUUAUUCCGUCUCUUUGUUAAUUUUUAAUUAAAUCCAAGCAUGCCUUGUGGUACUAGGGAUGUUUAUUAAUUGAUAUUACAUGGAAGCCUUUAUCCAAAACAUCUUCUGGUGCCAUGAGUAUGUACUUUUUUAGCAGCGGGCAGUCCCACUAAAGUCCCGUAGCUCUAACUGCGUCAGUGACGUGCUCAACACAAGUCUUUACAAAGAAGCUACUAACAUUUCCUGAAGUUAAAUUAACCGAAGAGCUUUUAUUAGCUCUCUGCAAACUAACAAACUAACCUACUAAUAAACUAAUAAUAACUAACUAAAAUCACUAACGCUGUGAUGGGUGACAGAAUUAGUGAAGCACCCUUAUUUUGAGGAGUUGCAUCACUUUUUGAAUGUACUAACAGACUUAAGUUUUGAAGAGCUAUUGACGUUAUUUGAAUGUGCCUGUGUGUGUGUGUGUGUGUGUGUGUGUGUGUGUGUGUGUGUGUGAAAGAGAGAGAGCAACGAGAGAUGCCCUCCUUUUUUUUUUCUUUUCUUCACUCUGUUUGGAAUUCAUUAGCUGGUGAAGCAAGCAGAGGCAGAUGUAGUUUGACACAAAGGGUGAAGUCGAUAGCAGCAGCAGGAGGAGAGAAGUUAGGAUUAUUGUUUUGGACAGAAUGGCCUUAAAAAUAUGAUUGUUUCAUGCACGAGGGGCAGAAGGAAGAAAACAGUUGUGUGAUUUUAAUACACUUAGAAAUCUCCAUAAUUCUUUAUAUCAGUAAUUAUACCUUAAUGCCUCUUUGAGUGUUUUAACACCUGGCCGGAGACACAACUCGUUUUCCCUACACAGUGUCAGUGUAGUUUCUCUUGUAUAUAUGUCCUAUUUUUGACCAUCUGUUGACCUGUGCUAUCCACUAUAUGUCCCUGUCCAGAGUGUGCACAGAUCAGAUGUGCUGACACAGUUAUCAGACACAAAAUCCCUACCGCUCUCCCACUGAGAGGUGCUGGUUGGAAGGACUAUAAAGGCAGUGUCAAUGAGGGUGUGAUAACUGUGAAAGUCUGUCUACAUGUGUCUCCUGUCUGCUUGUCUCUCCUGUUCCUCCUCGCUCACCACCGGCACCUCACACACACUGCGACCUGCUUUCUGCCUCCCCUCUGUCAUUGGGAAGUGUUUUUAAAAGGAGCCGGGAUCAAACGAAGUCGGAAAAUGCCUGUCUGGCGUUCAUCUGACAGCCCUGCAUCCUGAACCCUUUUAAAAGAGGGUGCAGAGGAAAAAAGGGAGAGAAAAUAGGACAUGUUUCGCACAAUUUAUGCAGCGUUAAUUUUCCAGCCCACGCGUCGACUGUUUACAGAGUCCUGCGCAUCUCAAACCUCCGUCUCUUGUUCUCUGUUCACCCCCCCCCUUCCUAUCUCUCAAACCACAAUCCCUCCUUUACUUUUUCCUCCCACCCUCCUCACUUUUUGUGUGCUUAUGUUAUUCUGAUUUUUUUUCCAGUCUUUUUUGUGUCACUAGUGAGGAUGCUCUCCCUUGGGGUGGCUAAAUUUACAUCUCUCCAUAUGACAAACACAAACAAAGAAGCAAAUAAAUCAAAUGAGAGAGAGAGGGAGAAGGAGAGGAGGGAGAGAGCAGUCGUGGAUGUUCAUCACUCUCUGAACAUAUAUGUAUAAAACAGUGUAGUAAUAUUGAUAAUAUAUGAAUAAAUGGAUACCGUAAUGAUUGAAAUUUUCUCUAUAGGAACCAAUACUAAGCUUUGUUUUUAUUUAAAGGCUCUAUAGACAAAGUAUCACCAUUAA
Molecule: long non-coding RNA, 2262 nt
Filed under: Dicentrarchus labrax (European seabass)
Lineage: Eukaryota; Metazoa; Chordata; Actinopteri; Moronidae
Description: lncRNA (ENSDLAG00005029967.1)
Source: RNAcentral